Molecule: ribosomal RNA, 301 nt
Filed under: uncultured bacterium
Lineage: Bacteria
Description: partial 16S ribosomal RNA
Rfam family: Bacterial small subunit ribosomal RNA
Source: RNAcentral
CAGCAGCCGCGGUAAUACGAAGGGGGCUAGCGUUGCUCGGAAUUACUGGGCGUAAAGGGAGCGUAGGCGGAUCGUUAAGUUGGGGGUGAAAGCCCGGGGCUCAACCUCGGAACUGCCUUCAAUACUGGCGAUCUUGAGUAUGAGAGAGGUGUGUGGAACUCCGAGUGUAGAGGUGAAAUUCGUAGAUAUUCGGAAGAACACCAGUGGCGAAGGCGACACACUGGCUCAUUACUGACGCUGAGGCUCGAAAGCGUGGGGAGCAAACAGGAUUAGAUACCCCCGUAGUCCCUGUCUCUUAUAC